This 465-nucleotide ribosomal RNA is filed under the name Vreelandella stevensii. RNAcentral's name for it is "partial 16S ribosomal RNA". It matches the Rfam family "Bacterial small subunit ribosomal RNA", at positions 338 to 795 of the family's 1533-position model. The record is from RNAcentral. Lineage: Bacteria; Pseudomonadati; Pseudomonadota; Gammaproteobacteria; Oceanospirillales; Halomonadaceae.
CCUACGGGUGGCUGCAGUGGGGAAUAUUGGACAAUGGGGGGAACCCUGAUCCAGCCAUGCCGCGUGUGUGAAGAAGGCCCUCGGGUUGUAAAGCACUUUCAGUGAGGAAGAACGCCUGGUGGUUAAUACCCAUCAGGAAAGACAUCACUCACAGAAGAAGCACCGGCUAACUCCGUGCCAGCAGCCGCGGUAAUACGGAGGGUGCGAGCGUUAAUCGGAAUUACUGGGCGUAAAGCGCGCGUAGGUGGCUUGAUAAGCCGGUUGUGAAAGCCCCGGGCUCAACCUGGGAACGGCAUCCGGAACUGUCAAGCUAGAGUGCAGGAGAGGAAGGUAGAAUUCCCGGUGUAGCGGUGAAAUGCGUAGAGAUCGGGAGGAAUACCAGUGGCGAAGGCGGCCUUCUGGACUGACACUGCCACUGAGGUGCGAAAGCGUGGGUAGCAAACAGGAUUAGAUACCCUGGUAGUC